This 213-nucleotide long non-coding RNA is filed under the name Elaeis guineensis (African oil palm). RNAcentral's name for it is "long non-coding RNA (EGUI_LNC033243)". Lineage: Eukaryota; Viridiplantae; Streptophyta; Magnoliopsida; Arecales; Arecaceae. The record is from RNAcentral.
UAUUAAUGAUUAUAUUAAGAUUUUAUUGCAAAUAAUAUAUUUUUUCAUCGAUAAUGUUGUUCAAAGCCUUAUUAGCAAGGGUGAAAGUCAGUCGUUAUAUUAAUUAUCAAUAUUAUCCUCAAAUCUCACACUCGCCUACUUAGGUCAAUCAGUUCCUGGACUUAGGAAAAAAAGACUAACAGUGGAUUGGUCGUUCUUUCAAACAGCGGCUAC